Molecule: ribosomal RNA, 662 nt
Filed under: Fusarium kyushuense
Lineage: Eukaryota; Fungi; Ascomycota; Sordariomycetes; Hypocreales; Nectriaceae
Description: SSU rRNA
Rfam family: Bacterial small subunit ribosomal RNA
Source: RNAcentral
GCUAACGGCUGAACUGGCAACUUGGAGAAGUGGCAAGUCUUCCAGUAUGGGGAGCAAACAGCUAUGGGUCAAGCCCGAUACCUUUAAGAGAAGUCUUAUUGUGAGGGCGAGUUGUAUAACACCAUAGGGCUGGCCGUCCCAUAUGAAAAGAUUUUAUUAGAAUUGAAUGAAACUUUGUUUAUAUAUUGAUAAUGACAGUAUAUAUAUCGUGUCUUGACUAAUUGCGUGCCAGCAGUCGCGGUAAUACGUAAGAGACUAGUGUUAUUCAUCUUAAUUAGGUUUAAAGGGUACCCAGACGGUCUAUAUAGCUUAUAAAAUGUUAGUAUAAGACUAGAGUUUUAUGUAAGAGGGCAGUACUUGAGGAGGAGAGAUGAAAUUUCGUGAUACCAAAGGGACUCUGUAAAGGCGAAGGCAGCCCUCUAUGUAAAAACUGACGUUGAAGGACGAAGGCACAGAGAACAAACAGGAUUAGAUACCCAAGUAGUCUUUGCAGUAAAUGAUGAAUGCCAUAGGUUAGAUAUAAAUAAUCCCUAUUAUAUAUAUAAUACAAAAGUAUUAAAUAUAUCUGGUCUAUAAAUGAAAGUGUAAGCAUUUCACCUCAAGAGUAAUGUGGCAACGCAGGAACUGAAAUCACUAGACCGUUUCUGACACCAGUAGUGAAG